UAAAAGUUCCUACAUUUAAUGUGAGGUCAGAACUAAUGACUUGGGUCUUGUCCUUCAUUUAAACAUCUUGAGCAACAUCUCCCUC
Sinocyclocheilus anshuiensis is the source of this 85-nucleotide long non-coding RNA. RefSeq lists it as uncharacterized. The transcript is spliced from 3 exons. NCBI's taxonomy places the organism in Eukaryota, Metazoa, Chordata, Actinopteri, Cypriniformes, Cyprinidae. The record is from RefSeq and is a predicted model, not a curated record.